GAUGAACGCUGGCGGCGUGCCUAAUACAUGCAAGUCGAGCGAACGGACGAGAAGCUUGCUUCUCUGAUGUUAGCGGCGGACGGGUGAGUAACACGUGGAUAACCUACCUAUAAGACUGGGAUAACUUCGGGAAACCGGAGCUAAUACCGGAUAGUAUUUUGAACCGCAUGGUUCAAAAGUGAAAGACGGUCUUGCUGUCACUUAUAGAUGGAUCCGCGCUGCAUUAGCUAGUUGGUAAGGUAACGGCUUACCAAGGCAACGAUGCAUAGCCGACCUGAGAGGGUGAUCGGCCACACUGGAACUGAGACACGGUCCAGACUCCUACGGGAGGCAGCAGUAGGGAAUCUUCCGCAAUGGGCGAAAGCCUGACGGAGCAACGCCGCGUGAGUGAUGAAGGUCUUCGGAUCGUAAAACUCUGUUAUUAGGGAAGAACAUAUGUGUAAGUAACUGUGCACAUCUUGACGGUACCUAAUCAGAAAGCCACGGCUAACUACGUGCCAGCAGCCGCGGUAAUACGUAGGUGGCAAGCGUUAUCCGGAAUUAUUGGGCGUAAAGCGCGCGUAGGCGGUUUUUUAAGUCUGAUGUGAAAGCCCACGGCUCAACCGUGGAGGGUCAUUGGAAACUGGAAAACUUGAGUGCAGAAGAGGAAAGUGGAAUUCCAUGUGUAGCGGUGAAAUGCGCAGAGAUAUGGAGGAACACCAGUGGCGAAGGCGACUUUCUGGUCUGUAACUGACGCUGAUGUGCGAAAGCGUGGGGAUCAAACGGGAUUAGAUACCCUGGCAGUCCACGCCGUAAACGAUGAGUGCUAAGUGUUAGGGGGUUUCCGCCCCUUAGUGCUGCAGCUAACGCAUUAAGCACUCCGCCUGGGGAGUACGACCGCAAGGUUGAAACUCAAAGGAAUUGACGGGGACCCGCACAAGCGGUGGAGCAUGUGGUUUAAUUCGAAGCAACGCGGAGAACCUUACCAAAUCUUGACAUCCUUUGACAACUCUAGAGAUAGAGCCUUCCCCUUCGGGGGACAAAGUGACAGGUGGUGCAUGGUUGUCGUCAGCUCGUGUCGUGAGAUGUUGGGUUAAGUCCCGCAGCGAGCGCAACCCUUAAGCUUAGUUGCCAUCAUUAAGUUGGGCACUCUAAGUUGACUGCCGGUGACAAACCGGAGGAAGGUGGGGAUGACGUCAAAUCAUCAUGCCCCUUAUGAUUUGGGCUACACACGUGCUACAAUGGACAAUACAAAGGGCAGCGAAACCGCGAGGUCAAGCAAAUCCCAUAAAGUUGUUCUCAGUUCGGAUUGUAGUCUGCAACUCGACUACAUGAAGCUGGAAUCGCUAGUAAUCGUAGAUCAGCAUGCUACGGUGAAUACGUUCCCGGGUCU
RNAcentral lists this ribosomal RNA (1372 nucleotides) under uncultured bacterium. RNAcentral's name for it is "bacterial SSU rRNA". It matches the Rfam family "Bacterial small subunit ribosomal RNA", at positions 28 to 1381 of the family's 1533-position model. The record is from RNAcentral.